Molecule: ribosomal RNA, 449 nt
Filed under: uncultured bacterium
Lineage: Bacteria
Description: partial 16S ribosomal RNA
Rfam family: Bacterial small subunit ribosomal RNA
Source: RNAcentral
AACGAACGCUGGCGGCAUGCCUAACACAUGCAAGUCGAACGAGACCUUAGGGUCUAGUGGCGCACGGGUGCGUAACGCGUGGGAAUCUGCCCUUCGGUUGGGAAUAACUGAGAGAAAUUUCAGCUAAUACCUUAUAAUGUCUUCGGACCAAAGAUUUAUCGCCGAGGGAUGAGCCCGCGUAGGAUUAGGUAGUUGGUGGGGUAAUGGCCUACCAAGCCGACGAUCCUUAGCUGGUCUGAGAGGAUGAUCAGCCACACUGGGACUGAGACACGGCCCAGACUCCUACGGGAGGCAGCAGUGGGGAAUAUUGUACAAUGGGCGAAAGCCUGAUCCAGCAAUGCCGCGUGAGUGAUGAAGGCCUUAGGGUUGUAAAGCUCUUUUACCCGGGAUGAUAAUGACAGUACCGGGAGAAUAAGCUCCGGCUAACUCCGUGCCAGCCGCCGCCGUAA